RNAcentral lists this long non-coding RNA (737 nucleotides) under Phoenix dactylifera (date palm). RNAcentral's name for it is "long non-coding RNA (PDAC_LNC006884)". Lineage: Eukaryota; Viridiplantae; Streptophyta; Magnoliopsida; Arecales; Arecaceae. The record is from RNAcentral.
AUAUGUUGACUUGAUUAUUCCAUAUAUGCUUCAGAUGAGUUGAUAUUGAUUGUGGUGAUAUUGAUGACUUACUCCAUAUUCUCUAUGUUGAGAUCAUGUUCAUCUUAUUAUUGAUCUUGAGAUUUCACCUCGAGCCAUGAUUAUAUCUGGUCUCAUGUGCAUAGUACUCUCUACUCCACUCACUGAGUAUUUAUAUACUCACUCCCCAGUUUGAUGUUUUUGAUUGCAGGAAAGGUAUUGUAUAGAGAGGAACAGGAUUAGUGGUUGCCUGCUAGCUGUGCCGCUCCAUAGUAUAGUAUAGUAUAAUGUAGAUAGAGGUUUAUCCCCUUUUGGUGUAUUAUAAACCUUCUAUUAUAUAUAGUGCAUAGUUACAGUCAUAGAUCCUGUUGUGGAUAUGGGUUUGACCAUGGAUGGAUUGGGAAGCAGGUAUAUAUAUAUGUGUGCAGAUCAAUUGUGUGCCUGUGAUAAUGUAUUGCUAUAUAUUGUCCAGGUUUAUUAUGUGACAGAUUAUGUGAUUGCUGCUCUGACAGGUAGUGUGUUAUAUGUAUUGAGAUAAUCCUGACAGGUCACCAUAGGAAAGGUGAUCAUUUUGUGCAUGCAUCAUGCCAAAAUUUUUCAGAAUUUAUGGAUGAUUGAUAGGUAGUAGGGUUCUACGUGGUGGCUGGUGGCCUUAUGCCUACCCGCACCCUAGGACCGUCGCGGCGGCCCGCCGGGAACGGGGCGGGGGUCGUGACAGU